Molecule: ribosomal RNA, 456 nt
Filed under: uncultured soil bacterium
Lineage: Bacteria
Description: bacterial SSU rRNA
Rfam family: Bacterial small subunit ribosomal RNA
Source: RNAcentral
GGAGUGAACGCUGGCGGUAGGCCUAACACAUGCAAGUCGAACGGCAGCACAGUGGUAGCAAUACCAUGGGUGGCGAGUGGCGGACGGGUGAGGAAUACAUCGGAAUCUACCUUUUCGUGGGGGAUAACGUAGGGAAACUUACGCUAAUACCGCAUACGCCCUUCGGGGGAAAGCCGGGGAUCGCAAGACCUGGCGCGGAUAGAUGAGCCGAUGUCGGAUUAGCUAGUUGGUGAGGUAAUGGCUCACCAAGGCGACGAUCCGUAGCUGGUCUGAGAGGAUGAUCAGCCACACUGGAACUGAGACACGGUCAGACUCCUACGGGAGGCAGCAGUGGGGAAUAUUGGACAAGUGGGCGCAAGCCUGAUCCAGCCAUACCGCGUGGGUGAAGAAGGCCUUCGGUUGUAAAGUCCGUUUUUGUAGGUAAAGAAAGACUAAUCGGUUAAUACCGGUUUAGUU